This 1330-nucleotide long non-coding RNA is filed under the name Heterocephalus glaber (naked mole-rat). RNAcentral's name for it is "lncRNA (ENSHGLG00100045736.1)". Lineage: Eukaryota; Metazoa; Chordata; Mammalia; Rodentia; Bathyergidae. The record is from RNAcentral.
GCCGAGGGCGAGGAGAGGGGACAGGGAGGAGGGCGCCCCAGACAGAGUCCGUGCUAGGCAGGGCGCUGGAGGGAGCGUGAGCCCCACGGCCACCCACGGCAGGGCCUGAGGGGUGAAAGCCCUGGAAACUGUCACUGUUCUGUGUCGUGCCACGGCCCACGCAGCACUGCACACUGGGGGCCGGGGUCCUGGAGUAAAGGAGCUGUGGGCUGGGUUUAUCUGUGAUGGAGACUCUGGGAGGCCUGGGCACUUCCUCUUUCCAAGCACAGAGAAACAGAGGGCCCAGGAACUGGCCAGGGCCGCAGGCAGCUGGCGGGGACCCCAGUCACAGAUCUUCAGACCCUGGUGCUGCUGCCCACAGCGGGCAGGGCAGGCACUCAGGCCCGGGUGCCCAGCCUGGGCGGAGAGGGGCUUUUCCCUGGGUGGUGGGCAGGUGACAUCUCCAGGAGCUCGGGACACGCAGGGUCCAGUGGCCCUGAGACAGGAACAGGAGGAGCCGGUCCUUGCCGUGACGAAGAUGUCUGGAUUUAUUUCUGAGCAGCAGGAGAGGCAGACUUCGAAGGUCCUUGUCGGGUAGGGCUGGGUCGCAGAGGGCAUAUGGGAGGCGGAGAGGAGACUAGAGGGGUCCACAGAGGGCCCCGGAAGCAGACAUCUUGGCCGUCCAUGCUGCCCCGGGGGGCACCUGCUCCCCUCACUGACUUCCCCGACCAGGCCCCUCUGGGGCUGUGCUGGGUGCGGCCCAGCUGCCUGCCUGGGAGGAGAGGCCCCUGAGCUGUGGCAGUGACUCCAGGGCACCGUGGUGCCCGGCUGUGCAGUGCGCUCAGUCUCCAAUGCGGCUGCCCUCGCCGGGUCGCAGGUGUGUCCAGGGGAGGAGCAAGUCAGAUGCCCCCCAAAAAGCACGUCCCAGAGUGACCCAGCAGCACAAAUCAAGAUGGAAUAUUACUUGGCAACAAAAAAGAACAAGCUGCUGCUCCAGGCAGUGACCUGACAGAAUCUCACAGAGAUGAGAAGCAAAGAUCCCACUGAAAGGAAGCUCAAGAGCCAGCAAAGCAGGCCAGGCAUGAUGGCACACACCUGUCAUCCCAGCACUCGGGAGGCUGAGGCAGGAGGAUCUCUGUGAGUUCAAAGCCAGCCUGUGUUACAUAGCAAAUUCAAGACCACCUUGAACUACAUAGUGAGACCCUGUGUCAAAAACCUAAAACCAUGGGCCGGGGAUUUAGCUCAGUGGUUUUGUCGCCUGCUGUGCAAGCGCAAGGACCCGAGUUCGAUCUCCGGUACCAAAAAAAAAAACCUAAAACCAAGUGGACAAAUAAAAAAAUGAAUACUGGAC